Molecule: transfer RNA, 72 nt
Filed under: Garra motuoensis
Lineage: Eukaryota; Metazoa; Chordata; Actinopteri; Cypriniformes; Cyprinidae
Description: tRNA-Thr
Rfam family: tRNA
About the family: Transfer RNA (tRNA) molecules are approximately 80 nucleotides in length. Their secondary structure includes four short double-helical elements and three loops (D, anti-codon, and T loops).
Source: RNAcentral
CGCCCUAAUAGCUUAGUUUAAAGCAUCGGUCUUGUAAUCCGAAGAUCGGAGGUUAAACUCCUCCUUAGCGCU